GGGCUGCUCCUAGUACGAGAGGACCGGAGUGGACGCAUCACUGGUGUUCGGGUUGUCAUGCCAAUGGCACUGCCCGGUAGCUAAAUGCGGAAGAGAUAAGUGCUGAAAGCAUCUAAGCACGAAACUUGCCCCGAGAUGAGUUCUCCCUGACUCCUUGAGAGUCCUGAAGGAACGUUGAAGACGACGACGUUGAUAGGCCGGGUGUGUAAGCGCAGCGAUGCGUUGAGCUAACCGGUACUAAUGAACCGUGAGGCUUAACCUUACAACGCCGAAGGUGUUU
RNAcentral lists this ribosomal RNA (280 nucleotides) under Escherichia coli. RNAcentral describes it as "partial 23S ribosomal RNA". It matches the Rfam family "Bacterial large subunit ribosomal RNA", at positions 2669 to 2925 of the family's 2925-position model. The record is from RNAcentral. Lineage: Bacteria; Pseudomonadati; Pseudomonadota; Gammaproteobacteria; Enterobacterales; Enterobacteriaceae.